This 465-nucleotide ribosomal RNA is filed under the name Vreelandella stevensii. RNAcentral describes it as "partial 16S ribosomal RNA". It matches the Rfam family "Bacterial small subunit ribosomal RNA", at positions 338 to 795 of the family's 1533-position model. Lineage: Bacteria; Pseudomonadati; Pseudomonadota; Gammaproteobacteria; Oceanospirillales; Halomonadaceae. The record is from RNAcentral.
CCUACGGGCGGCAGCAGUGGGGAAUAUUGGACAAUGGGGGGAACCCUGAUCCAGCCAUGCCGCGUGUGUGAAGAAGGCCCUCGGGUUGUAAAGCACUUUCAGUGAGGAAGAACGCCUGGUGGUUAAUACCCAUCAGGAAAGACAUCACUCACAGAAGAAGCACCGGCUAACUCCGUUCCAGCAGCCGCGGUAAUACGGAGGGUGCGAGCGUUAAUCGGAAUUACUGGGCGUAAAGCGCGCGUAGGUGGCUUGAUAAGCCGGUUGUGAAAGCCCCGGGCUCAACCUGGGAACGGCAUCCGGAACUGUCAAGCUAGAGUGCAGGAGAGGAAGGUAGAAUUCCCGGUGUAGCGGUGAAAUGCGUAGAGAUCGGGAGGAAUACCAGUGGCGAAGGCGGCCUUCUGGACUGACACUGACACUGAGGUGCGAAAGCGUGGGUAGCAAACAGGAUUAGAUACCCCAGUAGUC